CUCAAUAGUUCUGUUCGGACAGACAUUGCCGAAGCUGGGGCAGAAUUUCGCCAGGUAUUGGGAAUUCUACAAACUGACGCCGACGAUUUUGAAAACCUAAGUCAAUUGGAAAAGGAUUUCGUAGCAAAUAUAAACAAGUGCGACGCACAAAAGGAAAGCUAUGGUUGCUACAUCUCGGCGAUUGAAAAGGUGGUCCGAGAAGUUGGGGCUACCCCAGUUGACAAUGUAAAAAUAUUCUUCAGUUUGGUAAAACUCUUCAAGCGUAUAGACGGUGAAUAUGCUAAAUUUAAUUUUUGCUUAGUGCGACACCCGGAAGUUACAUCACCACCUGGUUCGUCAGAGGCAGAACAGACCACAGCAAGCUCAUCCAUUCUUCCACAAAUUUUAUGAAAUACAAUGGUUUUCAAGAAUAUCUGAAUUGUACUACAUUUUCGUAAUAAAAAGUGCAUUAUCAUUUCAAAAA
Molecule: long non-coding RNA, 463 nt
Organism: Bactrocera tryoni
Lineage: Eukaryota; Metazoa; Arthropoda; Insecta; Diptera; Tephritidae
Exons: 2
Source: RefSeq, a predicted model, not a curated record